This 67-nucleotide transfer RNA is filed under the name Traulia szetschuanensis. RNAcentral's name for it is "tRNA-Leu". It matches the Rfam family "tRNA". Rfam says of the family: Transfer RNA (tRNA) molecules are approximately 80 nucleotides in length. Their secondary structure includes four short double-helical elements and three loops (D, anti-codon, and T loops). Lineage: Eukaryota; Metazoa; Arthropoda; Insecta; Orthoptera; Acrididae. The record is from RNAcentral.
UUCUAAUAUGGCAGAUUAGUGCAAUAGAUUUAAGCUCUAAAUAUAAAGGUUUGACCUUUUAUUAGAA